CCUACGGGGGCUGCAGUGGGGAAUAUUGGACAAUGGGCGAAAGCCUGAUCCAGCCAUGCCGCGUGUGUGAAGAAGGCCUUCGGGUUGUAAAGCACUUUCAGUGGGGAAGAAAGCCUUGGGGCUAAUACCCUCGAGGAAGGACAUCACCCACAGAAGAAGCACCGGCUAACUCCGUGCCAGCAGCCGCGGUAAUACGGAGGGUGCGAGCGUUAAUCGGAAUUACUGGGCGUAAAGCGCGCGUAGGCGGUCUGAUAAGCCGGUUGUGAAAGCCCCGGGCUCAACCUGGGAACGGCAUCCGGAACUGGCAGGCUAGAGUGCAGGAGAGGAAGGUAGAAUUCCCGGUGUAGCGGUGAAAUGCGUAGAGAUCGGGAGGAAUACCAGUGGCGAAGGCGGCCUUCUGGACUGACACUGACGCUGAGGUGCGAAAGCGUGGGUAGCAAACAGGAUUAGAUACCCCGGUAGUC
Molecule: ribosomal RNA, 464 nt
Filed under: Vreelandella stevensii
Lineage: Bacteria; Pseudomonadati; Pseudomonadota; Gammaproteobacteria; Oceanospirillales; Halomonadaceae
Description: partial 16S ribosomal RNA
Rfam family: Bacterial small subunit ribosomal RNA
Source: RNAcentral